Molecule: ribosomal RNA, 479 nt
Filed under: uncultured bacterium
Lineage: Bacteria
Description: bacterial SSU rRNA
Rfam family: Bacterial small subunit ribosomal RNA
Source: RNAcentral
AGACGCUGGCGGCGUGCCUAAUACAUGCAAGUCGAGCGGGGAUUAUGCUUGAUCGCUUCGGUGAGACGGCAUAUAUCCUAGCGGCGGACGGGUGAGUAACGCGUGGGUAAUCUACCUCGUAGUUCGGGAUAACAGGCCGAAAGGCUUGCUAAUACCGGAUGAGUUCAUGCUUAUGCAUAUAGGCAUGAAGAAAGGGCUAGCCCGCUAUGAGAUGAGCCCGCGUCCCAUUAGCUUGUUGGUGGGGUAAUGGCCUACCAAGGCAACGAUGGGUAGCCGGCCUGAGAGGGUGUACGGCCACACUGGGACUGAGACACGGCCCAGACUCCGUACGGGGGGCAGCAGUAGGGUAAUUUUCGGCAAUGGGCGAAAGCCUGACCGAGCGACGCCGCGUGAGGGACGAAGGCCUUCGGGUUGUAAACCUCUGUCUGGGGGGAUGAGAACGGACGGUACCCCCGGAGGAAGCCCCGGCUAACUACGUG